ACAUAUCUCAUAAGGUGAAGAAUGCCUUCAAUAAAAUCUCAGUUUGGGGUUCCUUUUUUUUUUUUUUUUUUUUCCCGGAGAUGGUGAAGAUGUUACUCAUUUUGAAAGCAAUGAUUGGGAAGUAGGUGCUUUUGCUGGAAAAUGCUUUUCUGGAACCUGAAUAAAAGUGAGGCUGAUCCCCUGGAGCGCAGGAGCUUGCUGCAUUCUCUUUUCUGCCUGGGCUUCUAAGAUCCACGUGCGAGAGAGCCCUGGGUGGGGCACCCUCUGCUAUUCAAGCGGGUGCCUGUGGCCUACGUGAACAGUGUAAGUCCCUUGUCUGGAGCUAUAUUGG
RNAcentral lists this long non-coding RNA (331 nucleotides) under Capra hircus (goat). RNAcentral's name for it is "lncRNA (ENSCHIG00000007129.1)". Lineage: Eukaryota; Metazoa; Chordata; Mammalia; Artiodactyla; Bovidae. The record is from RNAcentral.